AACGAACGCUGGCGGCAUGCCUAACACAUGCAAGUCGAACGAGACCUUCGGGUCUAGUGGCGCACGGUUUCGUAACGCGUGGGAACCUGCCCUUAGGUUCGGAAUAACUCCCCGAAAGGGGUGCUAAUACCGGAUAAUGUCUUCGGACCAAAGAUUUAUCGCCUUUGGAUGUGCCCGCGUUGGAUUAGCUAGUUGGUAGGGUAAAAGCCUACCAAGGCGACGAUCCAUAGCUGGUCUGAGAGGAUGAUCAGCCACACUGGGACUGAGACACGGCCCAGACUCCUACGGGAGGCAGCAGUGGGGAAUAUUGGACAAUGGGCGAAAGCCUGAUCCAGCAAUGCCGCGUGAGUGAUGAAGGCCUUAGGGUUGUAAAGCUCUUUUACCCGGGAUGAUAAUGACAGUACCGGGAGAAUAAGCUCCGGCUAACUCCGUG
RNAcentral lists this ribosomal RNA (433 nucleotides) under uncultured bacterium. Its description in RNAcentral is "partial 16S ribosomal RNA". It matches the Rfam family "Bacterial small subunit ribosomal RNA", at positions 29 to 507 of the family's 1533-position model. The record is from RNAcentral.